CCUACGGGAGGCAGCAGUGGGGAAUAUUGGGCAAUGGGCGCAAGCCUGACCCAGCAACGCCGCGUGAAGGAAGAAGGCUUUCGGGUUGUAAACUUCUUUUCUCAGGGACGAAGCAAGUGACGGUACCUGAGGAAUAAGCCACGGCUAACUACGUGCGAGCAGCCGCGGUAAUACGUAGGUGGCAAGCGUUAUCCGGAUUUACUGGGUGUAAAGGGCGUGUAGGCGGGACUGCAAGUCAGAUGUGAAAACCAUGGGCUCAACCUAUGGCCUGCAUUUGAAAAUGGAGUGCUUGAGUACUGGAGGGGCGGACAGAAUUCCUAGUGUAGCGGUGAAAUGCGUAGAGAUGGGGAGGAACACCAGUGGCGAAGGCAGUCUGUUGGACAGCAACUGACGCUGAGGCGCGAAAGCGUGGGGAGCAAACAGGAUUAGAUACCCGAGUAGUC
This 443-nucleotide ribosomal RNA is filed under the name uncultured bacterium. RNAcentral describes it as "partial 16S ribosomal RNA". It matches the Rfam family "Bacterial small subunit ribosomal RNA", at positions 338 to 795 of the family's 1533-position model. The record is from RNAcentral.